GCGGGGUGGAGCAGCCUGGUAGCUCGUCGGGCUCAUAACCCGAAGGUCGUCAGUUCAAAUCUGGCCCCCGC
This 71-nucleotide transfer RNA is filed under the name Citrobacter werkmanii. RNAcentral describes it as "tRNA-Met". It matches the Rfam family "tRNA". Rfam says of the family: Transfer RNA (tRNA) molecules are approximately 80 nucleotides in length. Their secondary structure includes four short double-helical elements and three loops (D, anti-codon, and T loops). Further hydrogen bonds mediate the characteristic L-shaped molecular structure. tRNAs have two regions of fundamental functional importance: the anti-codon, which is responsible for specific mRNA codon recognition, and the 3' end, to which the tRNAs corresponding amino acid is attached (by aminoacyl-tRNA synthetases). tRNAs cope with the degeneracy of the genetic code in two manners: having more than one tRNA (with a specific anti-codon) for a particular amino acid; and 'wobble' base-pairing, i.e. permitting non-standard base-pairing at the 3rd anti-codon position. The record is from RNAcentral. Lineage: Bacteria; Pseudomonadati; Pseudomonadota; Gammaproteobacteria; Enterobacterales; Enterobacteriaceae. RNAcentral also lists the same sequence under 4 other names.